GAUGAAGAUAAACAUCUCUAUUACUUCAAUGACAUACGAUGACUCAAAGGGAAAUAAACAGAAAUUUGAAAUAAACAGCAAUAGAAACAUGCAAUCCGGGAAACUAACCUGUACUAACUUGAUCGGGGUAGAGUUAUAUGAAGAACAACCUGUAAUCAGAAAAGGGGAAACCGAUUAGGUUAACAGUGCAAUAACCGAUGAAGAAGUCACUGCACUAACAAGGCAGUGAUUCGAAGCUGCUAACAUGCAGAAAAAAGCUAAAGACACUACAAGGCAGUCAUUGAUACUAAGAACAUGUUUGCUUGAUCUUCUUUAUUACCCUUUCAGAUCUUCUUUAUUUCAUUGGAUCAACAGUUUGCUUGAUAGUAUUUCACCAGAGAAUGAGCGCUGAGUUAUGGGAAUGUUUCCCACUAUUUUGACUUCUUUUUUCACAUUUACUUAUUGCUACUGUUUUAUACUUUACCUCUGUUGUUUUGCAUCAAACCAUGAAAUUAAAAAAAUGGGACUGGACUGAUUCACUAGGUUGGUCCAAUCAGUUGCUCAUUUAGUUUGGUGAUCAUGUAAGAACCGGGUUUUAAAUUAACCUAUUAAAAAUCAAAUUGAAUCAGUAAAAAGUAUAUUUUAUAUAUUCUUCCAAUUUUUUUAUUGAAGAAGAUAACCCACUGUUAAAUUUCAACUCAUACUUCAUCAGAGUUCAAAAGAUCACACCAAUUUUAUACAGCUUUUCACUACCACUCUCAUUCGAUUAUACAUAUUUGCACCAAUAUCAACUUAUAAAAUUAAAUUAAAUAGUUGGGACCCUAACUUCCAUGCAAGAAAACAUUCAUAAAACUAAGGCAUAGAUUCCUUUGUUACACUAAUUACAGAGAGAAAAAGAGAGUUAGAAAAGAAAAGAAAAGAAAAAAGAGAGUUGAAGCGUAUUACAGUGAUUCCAUUCCUUUACCUUUCAGUUGCAGAAACCUGGAGACCCACCAACUGAGAGCAAUCGGAGUGACAGAGAGAUCAAGAAAAAAAAAGGUCGACUGGUUGAGAAGGGAAUCGAAAGAGUGGCAGAGAGAAAAAGAAAAGAAAAGAAAAGGAGGGAGCAAAUCGGCAGAAAAGAGGCGUAAUGGAGUGGGAGCAAAUCAGAAGAAAAGAAAAGCAAAGAAACAAGGAAGGAAACCGGAUGAAGGAACAGAAGAGAAACAAAGGGGAUCGGGGGAGGGUAAAUCAGGGAGGUGAUGCUGAAUCAGUAGCCAAUCUGGGCAAAAGGGGGGAAUAGAAAUCGGUGGUUUUCACCGAUUAGGAAGGUAACGGAUUAGGUGCGUUUUACUAAUACACCAAACCAAACGACGUAAUACACCCGGAUUAGGU
This 1353-nucleotide long non-coding RNA is filed under the name Gossypium raimondii (Peruvian cotton). RNAcentral's name for it is "long non-coding RNA (GRAI_LNC000269)". The record is from RNAcentral. Lineage: Eukaryota; Viridiplantae; Streptophyta; Magnoliopsida; Malvales; Malvaceae.